RNAcentral lists this ribosomal RNA (460 nucleotides) under uncultured bacterium. RNAcentral describes it as "partial 16S ribosomal RNA". It matches the Rfam family "Bacterial small subunit ribosomal RNA", at positions 338 to 795 of the family's 1533-position model. The record is from RNAcentral.
CCUACGGGUGGCAGCAGUGAGGAAUAUUGGUCAAUGGUCGAGAGUCUGAACCAGCCAAGUAGCGUGAAGGAUGACUGCCCUACGGGUUGUAAACUUCUUUUAUAAGGGAAUAAAGUGUGGCACGCGUGCCCUUUUGUAUGUACCUUAUGAAUAAGGAUCGGCUAACUCCGUGCCAGCAGCCGCGGUAAUACGGAGGAUCCGAGCGUUAUCCGGAUUUAUUGGGUUUAAAGGGAGCGUAGGGGGGUUGUUAAGUCAGUUGUGAAAGGUUGCGGCUCAACCGUAAGAUUGCAGUUGAUACUGGCAGUCUUGAGUACAGUAGAGGUAGGCGGAAUUCGUGGUGUAGCGGUGAAAUGCUUAGAUAUCACGAAGAACUCCGAUGGCGAAGGCAGCUUACUGGACUGCCACUGACACUGAGGCUCGAAAGUGUGGGUAUCAAACAGGAUUAGAUACCCGAGUAGUC